UGUUUCCUGGGUUGUUCGAAGCGACUUAACGCCCUUGAGCCUAUGAGCAAACCCCCGGAAAGAUACUGCAGAUUCGGUGAGCAUGUCCGUGCGCCGGAAAGCCUAAAGAGUCUCAGUUAUUUCCACCUUGAACCACUGGGUUCAAGGCCAAUAGUCGAAACGGCAACUUGGGAAACAC
This is a non-coding RNA of Marinomonas aquimarina, 178 nucleotides long. It matches the Rfam family "6S / SsrS RNA". From Rfam's summary of the family: E. coli 6S RNA was the first non coding RNA to be sequenced, but its function was unknown until recently. It consists of 184 nucleotides that fold into an extended hairpin structure with a large single-stranded internal bulge. The record is from Rfam. NCBI's taxonomy places the organism in Bacteria, Pseudomonadati, Pseudomonadota, Gammaproteobacteria, Oceanospirillales, Oceanospirillaceae.